Molecule: ribosomal RNA, 231 nt
Filed under: uncultured bacterium
Lineage: Bacteria
Description: partial 16S ribosomal RNA
Rfam family: Bacterial small subunit ribosomal RNA
Source: RNAcentral
GAUCCUGGCUCAGGAUGAACGCUAGCUACAGGCUUAACACAUGCAAGUCGAGGGGCGAGCAUGGUCUUAGCUUGCUAAGGCCGAUGGCGACCGGCGCACGGGUGAGUAACACGUAUCCAACCUGCCGUCUACUCUUGGACAGGCCUUCUGAAAGGAAGAUUAAUACAAGAUGGCAUCACUGAGUCCGACAUGUUCACAUGAUUAAAGGGUAUUCCGGUAGACGAUGGGGGA